GCGGGCGUGGCGGAAUUGGUAGACGCGCUGGUUUUAGGUACCAGUGUCGAAAGACGUGGGGGUUCGAGUCCCUUCGCCCGCACCA
This 85-nucleotide transfer RNA is filed under the name Sandarakinorhabdus fusca. RNAcentral describes it as "Polymorphobacter fuscus tRNA-Leu". It matches the Rfam family "tRNA". From Rfam's summary of the family: Transfer RNA (tRNA) molecules are approximately 80 nucleotides in length. Their secondary structure includes four short double-helical elements and three loops (D, anti-codon, and T loops). Further hydrogen bonds mediate the characteristic L-shaped molecular structure. tRNAs have two regions of fundamental functional importance: the anti-codon, which is responsible for specific mRNA codon recognition, and the 3' end, to which the tRNAs corresponding amino acid is attached (by aminoacyl-tRNA synthetases). tRNAs cope with the degeneracy of the genetic code in two manners: having more than one tRNA (with a specific anti-codon) for a particular amino acid; and 'wobble' base-pairing, i.e. permitting non-standard base-pairing at the 3rd anti-codon position. RNAcentral also lists the same sequence under 4 other names. The record is from RNAcentral. Lineage: Bacteria; Pseudomonadati; Pseudomonadota; Alphaproteobacteria; Sphingomonadales; Sphingosinicellaceae.